AGGGGGUUGGGCACCAGGGGUGGGGAGCGGCCAGUCUGCUAGUUCACACCCAAAAACUGAGUUUCCCCAGCCAGACGCCUGCUGUCCCCCCGCCCCACCCCGCGGAGUCGCCUUCGAGGGUGGAAACAAAGCACCCGGGGUGGCCUCUCCAACUCCACUGGCGGGGUUCAGUCCUCCCCCACCAACCUCCAGCCCGAGUGGAUUCCGAGCCCAGCUCCGGAAACCAGUCUGACCACUUUGCCCAUUUCCCAAGCCUCCCCGGGCGGCGGGCAGCCGGCUGCCAGGGUAGGUGAGCCCGGUUCAGCCGCAGCCUCCUUGCCUCUGCGAUGAAUGGAUUUGCCCAGAAGGCAGGUGGCAAAAUGACACUCCCGCCCCCGCGCUAGGGGCUCCCCACUCGGUCUCCCUCCAUCGCGAAAACCGGUGCUUGGAAGCUCCCUGGGGGCUGGGGGUGGGAGGCAAGUCUCCUCUCACCCUCGGGGUCGCCGCCUAGCCCUGACGACCCGAGCAGAGCCGUCUCUUGGUCUCGCUGGGUGCGCGGGCUGCCCUGGGGUGAUUCAUUCAACAUGGCAGUUCCCAUACUCAUCGCACAAGGCGUGGACGACACAAAGAGAUGGCUUGCCUGCAAGAGACCCAGCUGGUCCAGAGUCGGAGGCACAUUUCAUUUCUCUGGCCAGCUGGAGAGGCGGCCGGAGCAGACGAGGAGAUCGCCUCUAAUGUUCUAAAUGUCAAUAUGGUCCCUACUGGCUGACUCGCCAAGAUUUGAUCAGCAAAUUGGCCUGCGUGAUGUGUUCCCUGCAAUGCACGGUGUGUGUUUAAAUCUUUCAACAGUGUCAUGAAAGAAGCUGAAGAACAGUAAACAAUUCUCAG
This 867-nucleotide long non-coding RNA is filed under the name Equus caballus (horse). RNAcentral describes it as "lncRNA (ENSECAG00000037308.2)". The record is from RNAcentral. Lineage: Eukaryota; Metazoa; Chordata; Mammalia; Perissodactyla; Equidae.